This 496-nucleotide ribosomal RNA is filed under the name uncultured bacterium. Its description in RNAcentral is "partial 16S ribosomal RNA". It matches the Rfam family "Bacterial small subunit ribosomal RNA", at positions 28 to 506 of the family's 1533-position model. The record is from RNAcentral.
GAUGAACGCUGGCGGCGUGCCUAAUACAUGCAAGUCGAGCGAACGGACGAGAAGCUUGCUUCUCUGAUGUUAGCGGCGGACGGGUGAGUAACACGUGGAUAACCUACCUAUAAGACUGGGAUAACUUCGGGAAACCGUAGCUAAUACCGGAUAAUAUUUUGAACCGCAUGGUUCAAAAGUGAAAGACGGUCUUGCUGUCACUUAUAGAUGGAUCCGCGCUGCAUUAGCUAGUUGGUAAGGUAACGGCUUACCAAGGCAACGAUGCAUAGCCGACCUGAGAGGGUGACCGCCCCCACUGGAUCUGAGACACGGUCCAGAGCCCAACGGGAGGCAGCAGUAGGAAAUCUUCCGGAAGGGGCGAGAGCCUGACGGAGCAAGGCCGCGUGAGUGAUGAAGGUCUUCGGAUCGUAAAACGCUGUUAUGAGGGAAGAACAUAUGUGUAAGUAACUGUGCACAUCUUGACGGUACCUAAGCAGAAAGCAACGGCUAACUACGU